UUUUAAAAAUUAUGCAAAAAUUAUAUGUGGUAGAAAAGAGUUUUAUGAAAUUAUGAAAAAAAGUUGGAAUAAAAAAUAAUAAAGGAGCUAUUUAAAGAGAUUUUUUCGAAUAAAAAGGAAUUAAAUGAAAUAAAAAUAGAAAAAGAAAUAUUCAAAUUUAACGGCUAGUGAAGUGACGUGUUCUGAUUGGCCAAAGGAUUCAAAUUUCCCUCUGAAGCGCGCGAAGCAACUUCAUCUUCAACCUACGAAAUUUGAUUUUUUACAGGUUUAUGAACUUGAAGUUUUAAGCUC
This 291-nucleotide long non-coding RNA is filed under the name Lathyrus oleraceus (garden pea). RNAcentral describes it as "Pisum sativum (pea) long non-coding RNA (PSAT_LNC026842)". Lineage: Eukaryota; Viridiplantae; Streptophyta; Magnoliopsida; Fabales; Fabaceae. The record is from RNAcentral.